RNAcentral lists this ribosomal RNA (502 nucleotides) under uncultured bacterium. RNAcentral's name for it is "bacterial SSU rRNA". It matches the Rfam family "Bacterial small subunit ribosomal RNA", at positions 8 to 507 of the family's 1533-position model. The record is from RNAcentral.
AGAGUUUGAUCAUGGCUCAGAUUGAACGCUGGCGGCAUGCCUUACACAUGCAAGUCGAACGGCAGCGGGGCCUUCGGGUGCCGGCGAGUGGCGAACGGGUGAGUAAUGCAUCGGAACGUGCCAUUGAGUGGGGAUAACGUAGCGAAAGUUACGCUAAUACCGCAUAUUCUGUGAGCAGGAAAGCAGGGGACCGCAAGGCCUUGCGCUCUGGGAGCGGCCGAUGUCGGAUUAGCUAGUUGGUGGGGUAAAGGCCUACCAAGGCGACGAUCCGUAGCGGGUCUGAGAGGAUGAUCCGCCACACUGGGACUGAGACACGGCCCAGACUCCUACGGGAGGCAGCAGUGGGGAAUUUUGGACAAUGGGCGAAAGCCUGAUCCAGCCAUGCCGCGUGAGUGAAGAAGGCCUUCGGGUUGUAAAGCUCUUUCGGUGGGGAAGAAAUUGCAUAGGCUAAUACCCUAUGUAGAUGACGGUACCUGGAGAAGAAGCACCGGCUAACUACGUG